Molecule: long non-coding RNA, 1345 nt
Organism: Gasterosteus aculeatus aculeatus (three-spined stickleback)
Lineage: Eukaryota; Metazoa; Chordata; Actinopteri; Perciformes; Gasterosteidae
Source: Ensembl
AAAACAAAAGUAGGAUAAUAAAUAAAAGUAAUGUAACAGUGUAUUUUUUGUACAAAUAUGAAAUGGUAUGUAUUAAUGUUAGGAAAAGAUGAAGAAAUGUAAUUUGAUAAAUCACACGAUUUUUCUGUGGUUAACGAUUAAUCGCAUUAUGUGCAAAAUGCAAUAUUGAGGCAUCGUGAGGAUCUAUUUUUCUUUUUACAGGCUUAACAUACAGAAUAUGAAUGUGUUUCCUUUCUUUAUGAACAGGAACCAGAAUAAACAUUAGUCUUUGAUGACGAGCAGCAUGAUGCUUAAUGCAGAAUAUGUUCAGUAGUCAGAGUCUCUGUUAGAGGAGCUGAAGGUCUAGAACAAAAAACAAAAGUAUGUCAACCGUUGAUCCUCUGAUUGGACUCUACACCCACAGUCUCCCUGACACUUCAUGUAACCAUUGACUUACAUUCAUGCUGUGAUGUCAGAAGGUGAAUCAGUUUGGUCCUGAUGAAACUAAACUAACUGACCUUCACACAAACAACGAGGGCUCAGCGUUCACCAGCUGGGCUCCCUGAGUCACACGUGUCUCUGUGGACUCACUGAUACCUUCAUGCUGCUGUUGGUCCAUGAGACACACAGGAGACAUCCAAAGAUCCAGAUGUGUCUCAGCUGGACUUCAGUCAGAACAACUCAGACUGUUUCUGUGCAAAAUCUUAAAGGAUCAAUCACUUGAAUUGUGUUUCUGGUGUAUCGUAUGUUCUGCUGAUCACUGGUCUUGUUUGAAAAGCAGAGAUAAAAAAAAUAAACAACCAGUAGAGCUGCUGUCAGUCCCAGUGCACAGUAGAGGCCGAUCCAUCUCAGUCUGGUAUCAGUCGUUGUCUCAGGUUCGGGUCGAUCCUUCACUGCUGCAAAGAGACACAACAAAUCUGUUUAUUAAUGUAAAGAAAAAGGUUUAUUUAUCUGAAUAAAGCUGCUGAAUUAAACGUGUUAGUAAGUUUAACUUAAUGAACCUACCAGUGACAUUGAGGUGACAUUCCUUAAAGUUCUUCCCAUAACUUGUGUCCACUUGACACCAGUACAGCCCCGAGUCAUUAGUCUGGAGUCUGGAGAUGUGAAGUCUGAGUCGUCCUUCUCUGAGGACGUCUUUGUCCCACUGGACUCGUCCUGCAAAGCGUUUAUCCUGCAUCUCUGGGACCUCGACACCGUCAUGUAGCUCAAACAGGGUAAAGGGUCUCUCAUCAGCUAACAUCUCACAGGAGACAUGAAGGGCGUUGGGGGAGGGGUCCGUGCUGGUGGGGAACAUCCAUUCCAGUGAGAUGUUGUGGUUCUCCUCUGCAUGAUACCAGCUCUGUGUCACAUUCACUACAAAUGACCC